Molecule: ribosomal RNA, 441 nt
Filed under: uncultured bacterium
Lineage: Bacteria
Description: partial 16S ribosomal RNA
Rfam family: Bacterial small subunit ribosomal RNA
Source: RNAcentral
CCUACGGGAGGCAGCAGUGGGGAAUAUUGCACAAUGGGGGAAACCCUGAUGCAGCGACGCCGCGUGAGUGAGGAAGUAUUUCGGUAUGUAAAGCCCUAUCAGCAGGGAAGAAGAAAGACGGUACCUGCCUAAGAAGCCCCUGCUAACUACGUGCCCGCAGCCGCGGUACUACGUAGGGGGCACGCGUUAACCGGAUUUACUGGGUGUAAAGGGAGCGUAGACGGCUGUGCAAGUCUGAAGUGAAAGCCCAGGGCGCAACCCUGGGACUGCUUGGGAGACUGGGGAGCUAGAGUGCUAGAGAGGUAAGUGGAAUGCGUAGUGUAGCGGUGAAAUGCGUAGAUAUUAGGAAGAACACCAGUGGCGAAGGCAGCUUACGGGACAGUAACUGACGGUGAGGCUCGAAAGCGUGGGUAGCAAACAGGAUUAGAUACCCCAGUAGUC